CCUACGGGAGGCUGCAGUGAGGAAUAUUGGUCAAUGGGCUUAAGCCUGAACCAGCCAAGUCGCGUGAGGGAAGACUGCCCUAUGGGUCGUAAACCUCUUUUGUCAGGGAGCAAAGCCGGCGACGUGUAGCCGGAUGGAGAGUACUUGAGAAAAAGACACAGCUUAAUUCCGUGCCAGCAGCCGCGGGAUUACGGAGGAUGGGAGCGUUACCAGGUUUUAGUGGGUUAAAAGGGUGCGCAGGCGGUAUGUCAAGUCAGGGGUAAAAUCCCGGGGCUCAACCCCGCUCCGCCGUUGAAACUGGCGGUCUUGAGUGGGCGAGAAGUAUGCGGAAUGCGUGGUGUAGCGGUGAAAUGCAUAGAUAUCACGCAGAACUCCGAUUGCGAAGGCAGCAUACCGGCUCCCCACUGACGCUGAGGCACGAAAGCGUGGGUAUCGAACAGGAUUAGAUACCCCUGUAGUC
This 460-nucleotide ribosomal RNA is filed under the name uncultured bacterium. RNAcentral's name for it is "partial 16S ribosomal RNA". It matches the Rfam family "Bacterial small subunit ribosomal RNA", at positions 338 to 795 of the family's 1533-position model. The record is from RNAcentral.